UCCGUNGGUGAACCAGCGGAGGGAUCAUU
This 29-nucleotide ribosomal RNA is filed under the name Diaporthe eres. Its description in RNAcentral is "partial 18S ribosomal RNA". The record is from RNAcentral. Lineage: Eukaryota; Fungi; Ascomycota; Sordariomycetes; Diaporthales; Diaporthaceae.